AAAACGUCCUCAUCAUCUGAUCAAGAGCCUCCAGUCAAACAUCAAGUCAUCCACCGAAAGGACAGUAUGUUAAUGCAAGAGAUUAACAGCAUGUAGAGUCAAGCUGGAGAGCAUUCAAGCCGAGAAACUCAACUUGAGAGAGAAAUUCUCAAAUUAAAAAAAGAAAAUGAGAAUCUAAGAGCACUUAAUAUAGCUCUGCAACAAGAAAUUCUUCCAAUGCUCAAGUGCAGCAUGAACCAGCACACUCUUGUUGCUCAACAACCACAAGAUUCAAGUCAGAAGAAUCCCCCUGAAAAGACACAGGGGCUAGGAAUUAGUUCAGCUGUCCUGACAAGUUGUGGACGGGGGGGCACAUCAUGUUC
Cyprinus carpio (common carp) is the source of this 362-nucleotide long non-coding RNA. RefSeq lists it as uncharacterized. Lineage: Eukaryota; Metazoa; Chordata; Actinopteri; Cypriniformes; Cyprinidae. The transcript is spliced from 4 exons. The record is from RefSeq and is a predicted model, not a curated record.